UACAGAGGUCUCAAGCGUUGUUCGGAUUCAUUGGGCGUAAAGGGUGCGUAGGCGGUGAGGUAAGUCUUGUGUGAAAUCUACAGGCUCAACUUGUAGUCUGCACGAGAAACUGCCGGGCUUGAGUGUGGGAGAGGUGAGUGGAAUUCCUGGUGUAGCGGUGAAAUGCGUAGAUAUCAGGAGGAACACCUGUGGCGAAAGCGGCUCACUGGACCAUAACUGACGCUGAUGCACGAAAGCUAGGGGAGCAAACAGG
RNAcentral lists this ribosomal RNA (253 nucleotides) under uncultured bacterium. RNAcentral describes it as "partial 16S ribosomal RNA". It matches the Rfam family "Bacterial small subunit ribosomal RNA", at positions 524 to 776 of the family's 1533-position model. The record is from RNAcentral.